RNAcentral lists this ribosomal RNA (331 nucleotides) under uncultured Pseudomonadota bacterium. RNAcentral's name for it is "bacterial SSU rRNA". It matches the Rfam family "Bacterial small subunit ribosomal RNA", at positions 568 to 898 of the family's 1533-position model. Lineage: Bacteria; Pseudomonadati; Pseudomonadota. The record is from RNAcentral.
CGCGUAGGCGGCUUGGCAAGUUGGGUGUGAAAGCCCAGGGCUCAACCCUGGAAUUGCACUCAAGACUGCCUUGCUUGAAUUCGGUAGAGGUUGGUGGAAUUCCCAGUGUAGAGGUGAAAUUCGUAGAGAUUGGGAAGAACACCCGUGGCGAAGGCGGCCAACUGGACCGACAUUGACGCUGAGGCGCGAAAGCGUGGGGAUCAAACAGGAUUAGAUACCCUGGUAGUCCACGCCGUAAACGAUGCAUGCUAGACGUUGGAGGGCUUAGCUCUCUUGUGUCGCAGCUAACGCAUUAAGCAUGCCGCCUGGGGAGUACGGCCGCAAGGUUGAA